GACGUAGGGUGCGAGCGUUGUCCGGAUUUACUGGGCGUAAAGAGCGCGUAGGCGGCUCGUUAAGUGUGAAGCUAAAUCUCCAGGGCUCAACCCGGAAACUAUUUCGCAUGCUGGCGAGCUUGAGGAAUGCAGAGGUGAAUGGAAUUCCUGGUGUAGCGGUGAAAUGCGUUGAUAUCAGGAGGAACACCCAUGGCGAAGGCAGUUCACUGGGCAUUAUCUGACGCUGAGGCGCGAAAGCGUGGGUAGCAAACAGGAUUAGAUACCCUGGUAGUCCACGCCCUAAACGAUGGAUACUAGGCGUAAGAGGUAUCGACCCCUCUUGUGCCGCAGCUAACGCACUAAGUAUCCCGCCUGGGGAGUACGGCCGCAAGGUUGAAACUCAAAU
This 385-nucleotide ribosomal RNA is filed under the name uncultured bacterium. RNAcentral's name for it is "bacterial SSU rRNA". It matches the Rfam family "Bacterial small subunit ribosomal RNA", at positions 524 to 906 of the family's 1533-position model. The record is from RNAcentral.